AUUGAACGCUGGCGGCAGGCCUAACACAUGCAAGUCGAACGGUAGCACAGAGAGCUUGCUCUCGGGUGACGAGUGGCGGACGGGUGAGUAACGUCUGGGAAACUGCCCGAUGGAGGGGGAUAACUACUGGAAACGGUAGCUAAUACCGCAUAACGUCGCAAGACCAAAGUGGGGGACCUUCGGGCCUCACACCAUCGGAUGUGCCCAGAUGGGAUUAGCUAGUAGGUGGGGUAAUGGCUCACCUAGGCGACGAUCCCUAGCUGGUCUGAGAGGAUGACCAGCCACACUGGAAUUGAGACACGGUCCAGACUCCUACGGGAGGCAGCAGUGGGGAAUAUCGCACAAUGGGCGCAAGCCUGAUGCAGCCAUGCCGCGUGUAUGAAGAAGGCCUUCGGGUUGUAAAGUACUUUCAGCGGGGAGGAAGGCGGUGAAGUUAAUAACUUCACCGAUUGACGUUACCCGCAGAAGAAACACCGGCUAACUCCGUGCCAGCAGCCGCCGUAA
RNAcentral lists this ribosomal RNA (504 nucleotides) under uncultured bacterium. RNAcentral describes it as "partial 16S ribosomal RNA". It matches the Rfam family "Bacterial small subunit ribosomal RNA", at positions 30 to 523 of the family's 1533-position model. The record is from RNAcentral.